CAAAUCCGUUCUAAAUGAUAUUUGGGUUUCAGUGACAUCUGGAACUGAAGAUUAUUCUUCUAAUCCAUUGAGGAAAAGUCAAUACGAGGAAAGCUUAUUUAAAUGUGAAGAUGAUAUAUAUGAGCUGGAUAUGCUAGUAGAGUUGGCAAAUUCAACUGUUGAGAAAGUUCAGAAUUUGGUA
Molecule: long non-coding RNA, 181 nt
Organism: Dendrobium catenatum
Lineage: Eukaryota; Viridiplantae; Streptophyta; Magnoliopsida; Asparagales; Orchidaceae
Exons: 2
Source: RefSeq, a predicted model, not a curated record